RNAcentral lists this ribosomal RNA (435 nucleotides) under uncultured bacterium. RNAcentral describes it as "partial 16S ribosomal RNA". It matches the Rfam family "Bacterial small subunit ribosomal RNA", at positions 29 to 507 of the family's 1533-position model. The record is from RNAcentral.
AGCGAACGCUGGCGGCAGGCUUAACACAUGCAAGUCGAGCGGGCACUUUCGGGUGUCAGCGGCGGACGGGUGAGUAACGCGUGGGAACGUGCCCUCUGGUUCGGAAUAACUCAGGGAAACUUGAGCUAAUACCGGAUACGCCCUUUUGGGGAAAGGCUUGCUGCCGGAGGAUCGGCCCGCGUCUGAUUAGCUAGUUGGUGAGGUAACGGCUCACCAAGGCGACGAUCAGUAGCUGGUCUGAGAGGAUGAUCAGCCACACUGGGACUGAGACGCGGCCCAGACUCCUACGGGAGGCAGCAGUGGGGAAUAUUGGACAAUGGGCGCAAGCCUGAUCCAGCCAUGCCGCGUGAGUGAUGAAGGCCUUAGGGUUGUAAAGCUCUUUUAUCCGGGACGAUAAUGACGGUACCGGAGGAAUAAGCCCCGGCUAACUUCGUG